Molecule: ribosomal RNA, 506 nt
Filed under: uncultured bacterium
Lineage: Bacteria
Description: partial 16S ribosomal RNA
Rfam family: Bacterial small subunit ribosomal RNA
Source: RNAcentral
GACGAACGCUGGCGGCGUGCUUAACACAUGCAAGUCGAACGGUGAAGGGACUGGUUUUGCUGGUCCUGGAUGAGUGGCGAACGGGUGAGUAACACGUGAGUAACCUGCCCCCUUCUUCUGGAUAACCGCAUGAAAGUGUGGCUAAUACGGGAUAUUCUGGGUCUGUCGCAUGGUGGGCCUGGGAAAGAUUGCGCCUUUAUUGGUGUUUUUGGUGGGGGAUGGGCUGGCGGCCUAUCAGCUUGUUGGGGGGGUGAUGGCCUACCAAGGGGGUGACGGGUAGCCGGCCUGUGAGGGUGGACGGUCACACUAGGACUGAGACCCGGCCCAGACUCCUACGGGAGGCAGCAGUGGGACAUAUUGCACAAUGGGCGCAAGCCUGAUGCAGCGACGCCGCGUGAGGGAUGGAGGCCUUCGGGGUGUGAACCUCUUUCGCCAGUGAAGCAGGCCUGCCUCUUUUUGUGGGUGGGUUGACGGUAGCUGGAUAAGAAGCGCCGGCUAACUACGUG